RNAcentral lists this ribosomal RNA (332 nucleotides) under uncultured eukaryote. RNAcentral describes it as "partial 18S ribosomal RNA". It matches the Rfam family "Eukaryotic small subunit ribosomal RNA", at positions 1470 to 1796 of the family's 1831-position model. The record is from RNAcentral.
CCCUUAGAUGUCCUGGGCUGCACGCGCGCUACACUGGAAGUUACGGAUUGAGAUACUACCUUGUCCGAAAUGGUCCGGGUAAUCACCUAAACGCUUGUCAUAAUUGGAAUGGAUUAUUGUAACUAGUAAUCCUGAACGAGGAAUUCCUAGUAAGUCCCAGUCAACAGCUGGUACUGAUUACGUCCCUGCCCUUUGUACACACCGCCCGUCGCUACUACUGAUUGGACGUUUAAGCAAGAUUUUUAAACACUGACAGUGUGUAGUUCACGCUAUACUACAGUGAGAAGAAGAAGAUCGAGCUUACUUGUCUAGAGGAAGUAAAAGUCGUAACA